GAUUACUGAUGGAGGGGUGUUGAGGUCAAGUCAGGUCACCUUAAAGGAGAAUUAUAAGUUUAUGGCCCGUAUCUCUUGUGUCCUGCCUAGCAGUUGUUAGGGUGAUGUUGCUGUUAAGCUACUGCGUAUUUAGUUCUGGUUUUGUUUAUUUGUGUGUGUAGAUUUCAAAGUUACUCUUUGAAAAGUCAACAAGUUUAUUUGAUCAAUUAUUCACUAAAGGUCUCAUAUUUGAAAUAGCUGUGCUGUAGUUACCUAUAUUUUCAGGAAGUUUAAUGUAGGGUGGACCACAUGGACAGCUCCUUAGUGGUCAAUGAAAAUAAGGUCAUUUUCUUCAGCGUCACUAAUGAUCUGUCACAACAUCAGACGUGAGUCUCCAUAUCCUCCUCUGUAGGUUUUCUGUGUUCUACCAAACACACAUCAGUUUUCUCACAUGACAAUCUAUGUGUGGAGUUCACUUCACUGACGGAAGAAAGUGGAAAAUAUGUCUUUGUCUUAUAUUCUUCUCAUUUAUGUUGCCGGUGUUGCGGUAAAAGAAAGUUGUGCAGAUUCGGUUCCCACUCCCACUAUUGUAUUUUCCUCUGGGUACAUCAAUGUAGCUACACCUGUUACAGUACGCUGUGAGUCACCAGAAGGCACAGAGUGCAUUUUCUACAGAGAUCACCACCCCAACCCUAUAAGAAAACUGGAUUACAAGCAGGGUGCUUGCCAGUUCAAUUUGUUAUGGAAUGAGUUCUAAAAGUGGAACAAGACUGAAGUAGAUCUCAGCUGUGUAAUUCUACAGAACAGAGAAGAUAAAACGAGCAAAACCUCAAAACCGAGUGAUGCUCGAAGACUUAUAGUGAGUGAUCCAAUUGGAAAGCCCAGUGUUCAUGUGGAGAAUAUUGGGAAUUACCUCAAUCUUCGAUGUGAGGCCAAGGCUUGCACCUCAUGCUACUUUUAUCUGAACAAUGGUGACUCACACUUCAAAAAACUACCCUACAAUGGCAAUGUCUUUGUGGGGAGAGUCGCAGAAGAGGAACUGCAGAGGAAGAGGAGCAGUGCUAGAGAGAUCUUCAUCACCUGUGCCGUGGAGCUGGUGGUAGAGGGUGAAAAUACUGUUACAUCACAGCAUAGUGAACCCCUCGGUAUCACCAUAGAUGUUGUAAAUCCUCCAGGAGCUACUAGUUCCCCAUCAGAGUUCAGUUUAAUCAAACCUGUUCAGGAGGAGACAAGCAGCAAUGUCACAGCCCAAGGAAGAGAAUCCGCCUCAGAGAUCCCCUUCUACCAGUAUACCAGUCUUCGUGCUGUUGUCUAUGUUAUCAUUCUGCUGAUGGAAUCUGUUCUGUGUCUUCUCUGGUAUAGACGUGGUACAUGCCUUCUCAUACUCAUACACAACAUGUAACGGAUGUAGGAACUUCAUUUGAUUACUCUUUUAUUUCUGAGAAUUUUCCUGCACAGCAGGAAAUGCAAACUUGCAGUGCAUUUGAGCAUUAAAAAUGCUUCUAACGUUUGUAAUUUCCCUGUUGAAAUUUUCAAACUUGAUUUUCCUAAAAGAAAUGUAUCAACCCCAACAAAAAUAUCCAUUAAUUAUCAUCCACAUAAUAAUUCACAUUUCCUGUUCCUGCAGGAUUAUUUUCCUGCUGUAGCAAUCUGGCUCAAAUUAAGAUCCUACAUCUGUUUUUUGUUCAGAAGGCUUUUGUCAUGUCUUUUAUUAGCUAUACAACCUGGCGGUAUGAUUUGUUUUCAUCAUACUUUUAUCUCUGAAGUUGAUCCACAAGGCAAUGUCAAACGGAGGUAAGAGUGGUCUAUUUAUUCAUAAAUAUUUACUCAUGCAUUUUUUUUCGAUUAUAUGGUUGAUGUACUGGUGAAUUGUCGUGUCUUGACCAAAACCCAUCUAAGAUGCAAUAUGUGUGUGUAGAACAAUGCUCUUUACUCCCCAUUGCUUGUUAAUGUAUUUUAUAUUAUGCGAAGUGUUUCAUGUGUAAUGAGUUUAUAUGUCUAAAAUACAGCUAUUUUAUUAGCAUUUAAUUUUUUCUUCUCAUGGAUGUUGUGUUUUCCAGGGGAAA
Salmo salar (Atlantic salmon) is the source of this 2045-nucleotide long non-coding RNA. RefSeq lists it as uncharacterized. The record is from RefSeq and is a predicted model, not a curated record. NCBI's taxonomy places the organism in Eukaryota, Metazoa, Chordata, Actinopteri, Salmoniformes, Salmonidae.